This 253-nucleotide ribosomal RNA is filed under the name uncultured bacterium. Its description in RNAcentral is "partial 16S ribosomal RNA". It matches the Rfam family "Bacterial small subunit ribosomal RNA", at positions 524 to 776 of the family's 1533-position model. The record is from RNAcentral.
UACGAGGGGUGCAAACGUUAUUCGGAAUCAUUGGGCGUAAAGGGUGCGUAGACGGCGAAAUAAGUCAGUCAUUAAAUUUUCCAGCUUAACUGGAAAUCUGUGGUUGAAACUGAUUUGCUUGAGGAUGGAAGAGAGAAGCGGAAUUCUCGGAGUAGCGGUAAAAUGCGUAGAUCUCGAGAGGAACACCGAUGGCGAAGGCAGCUUCUUGGUCCAUAUCUGACGUUGAGGUACGAAAGCGUGGGGAGCAAACAGG